UUGGCUAAGGUGUAUGUAAACUUCAGACUUCAACUGUAUGUAAUGUAUGUCAUUCACUCGUUAAGGUCUGAAGAAGACAGGUUGAAAGAUUGAAAACGGCGGCAAAAACAAAGCACACUACAGGUAGGUGGAGUCAUAUGAUGAGUGGUAUAGUCUGAAACCAAUGUUUAAAGACCAAUAUGUUUUAGGAUGAUGUAGAUGACUCCCCCCUCCCCCCAAGAAGUCACAGCAGGUCACAUCAGCAUCCAGCUUUGCAAGAGCAGACCAUACUAAAAAUGAAAUGCACGGCGAACUGGGAGCUGUGAACUGGGAUGCAGAUUUUCUCCUAAGGGACACCCUAGUGGCAGCAAGGUGGUGUGAACGCCAAACAUUUAAAGGCACUGUUUCCCUCCCUAGUGCAAUUGGGAUGGACGGGGAAGACCGCAUUUACAACCCUUAAAUAACUACGGUUGUAUGAUGGCCUGGAUGAAUAGGAAAAUAUUCUCCUCAAGGAACUGACCGUCUUUGCCUCUUUUGAGGAGCAGGAGUGAAGCUAUUUUUGAGGAGUGGUCAAACCUUGUUUUUGUCUGCUGUGUUAAUUGUUUCAAUUGUUAAUUGUGUUAUUUAGUAAAGAUGACGUAGCAGUCACCCGAGUCUCUGGUCUCUUUACUGGAGCUGGUAUAACUGUCUAUAUGGUAUAGUCUGUUUCCAUUCUCAUGAGGAAAGUAAAUAGCAUUAUAAAUCAGGAUAGG
Molecule: long non-coding RNA, 731 nt
Organism: Oncorhynchus tshawytscha (Chinook salmon)
Lineage: Eukaryota; Metazoa; Chordata; Actinopteri; Salmoniformes; Salmonidae
Exons: 3
Source: RefSeq, a predicted model, not a curated record